Molecule: ribosomal RNA, 109 nt
Filed under: Acanthosepion pharaonis
Lineage: Eukaryota; Metazoa; Mollusca; Cephalopoda; Sepiida; Sepiidae
Source: RNAcentral
ACCACAUCACAUUAAGACACCAGUUCUCAUAUGAUCAUCAAAGUUAAGCAAUGUCAAGCCUGGUCAGUACCUAGAUUGAUGACCACUUGGGAAUACCAAAUGCUGCAAG